UUUCUUUUUCUUUUACAUUCAUUAGCCAUCAGAGAUAACAUUUAUCAAGUUUCUACAGGUUUUAAUUCGUUUUGCAAUCACAUAACCCCAGGAAACAGAGACCAUCCCCACUUUACAGAAGAGGGGCUUGGAGACCCAGAGAGGUUUAAAUCACUUUGCUAAGGUCACACAGCUGGAAGUCUGCAGUGGACCCAAGGUGGUCGAACUCCAGGACCGCCUUGACCACUACAUUAAGUGGCUCCGUAUGGCUACAUUUUUUUUCCCACGUUGUUAAAGAGUGACUAAUGCUGCCUGCCAUCUGUUACCAAGUCCGGUGGCUUUUCCUUCAGCUCCCUCCCGGAAUUGCAGCGCUCCGAACGCCCAUCCCCCCGCCAGAAGCACUUCCUGGCUCAAGCUAUGGCACCCACAGCUGCCACUGAGGCACCAACCAUCUCUGGGCUUCUGGGCCCCAGCACUGCAGGUUCCAACGGCGGAGAAUUCCGUAUGGAGGCUCUUCUUUGUCCUCUGUGCUCACCUGCACACUGCGUGGCCAUAGCUCCCAGCGUGCUCCGCCUCAGACCUCUCCUCCUUCAAAACCCCCAUCCCACCUUCUGUCUCACAUCAGAGCCGACUCUGAAGCCGUUGCCUGUGCCUGGAAUGCUCUCACCCCUCUCACGAAUUCUCUCCCUUUUUGGUACACAGACAGCUUCUGAAACUCCUAUUGGUCCGUGGAAUUUUUCUCUGCUGAUACAGGAGCAAGAGCUGUUCUCCACUUUGCCGAUUCAGAGUAGCUCCUGGAGUCCAGCCUGGCUGAGGCUUGGGGUCCACCACUUACUAGCCCUAUAAACUUGGGCAGGUUUCUAAGUCUCAAUACCUCCUCAUUGGCAUGGGAUAUUCAUACCUGCAGUCAAAGGAUUGUUAUGAGAUUUAAAUAACAUAAUCCAUGAAACGCUCCUAGCACAGAGCUGGCACAAAGUGGCGGGCCUGGGAGCUGGGUGCACACUCUCACAAGUGAACUUCAGGUCUUUUUCAAGGUCCAAGAAAAUGGAUGAGGUUUUGGGACUGACUCCCUCACUGCCCAAGAGGCAAAGAGGAUGGUCACAUCUGUACCACUUACAAAGUAUGUGAUCACAUAGGUGAUGUCGUCUAAUUAUCACAGCAGCCCUGUGGGGUGUGUUAACUGGAGCUCAGCAGUCUACCUGAACCGUGGGGCACACCGAGGGAGGAUGCUGCAGUGAGUUGCAAGGGUCCCCAAUGGCUGCGUGGAGCCACCCCCUUGCCUGAACUGCUGCCCUCCAGACUUCCACCCUGUGAGGAGGAAUCAUGCUGAAGGGUAAAGCACGACACCUUCAGGGCACCCAUUCCAGAAAGAGAGACCCUCUCUACAGAGUAUGAGAACCCCAACCCCUGACGUAGCUGAUGGCACAAGGUUCCCCUUCAGGACACAUUCUGCUUCUCUGCUUUCCCGGUGCCUGCAGGUUGAAUCUGGACUUUGCUCGGACAGGAUCCGGUCCAGAUGAGGACAUGGCAGCCUCUGGGGAGAGCAGCAUCUACGCCUACUCCUUGACUGAUAGACUAGUGCAGGUGCCUGCCUGGAGGCGUGCUUCUCAAUCUACCCAUGGGGAAGGACCAGCUUUCAAAGGUCCAACCUGUCGUGGGCUGAUACUUUAGUAAAAUACAAUUAAAAUGAAAUUUUAAAAAAGACAUGAAUCUCAUAUUUUUAAUUAUUAGAUUGAACAGACAUAAAAUAACUCUGUCAAAUGGCUAUAAAAUUUCUCAUCACAGUUGCUCUCAGGUUCUGUACUUGCCUCAUUGAGGACUGGUAACAAUCCACAGACCAGCACUGGUCUGUUGACCACACUUUGGGUAGUAUGGACCUUUUAACCUAUACCCAAAAGGAAUAUUAUAUGUGUGGCAUGUAUAUUUAUAAAAAUGUUUAGAUAGAUUAAGUAACUCUGUAUUAGAAAAUUUUUAUUUUGAACAAUC
RNAcentral lists this long non-coding RNA (1965 nucleotides) under Equus asinus (donkey). RNAcentral describes it as "lncRNA (ENSEASG00005028643.1)". Lineage: Eukaryota; Metazoa; Chordata; Mammalia; Perissodactyla; Equidae. The record is from RNAcentral.